AUGAAGAACGUAGCGAACUGCGAUAAGUAAUGUGAAUUGCAGAAUUCAGUGAAUCAUCGAGUCUUUGAACGCACAUUGCGCCCCCUGGCAUUCCGGGGGGCAUGCCUGUCCGAGCGUCAUUGCUGCCCUUCAAGCCCGGCUUGUGUGUUGGGUCGUCGUCCCCCCCGGGGGACGGGCCCGAAAGGCAGCGGCGGCACCGCGUCCGGUCCUCGAGCGUAUGGGGCUUUGUCACCCGCUCGAUUAGGGCCGGCCGGGCGCCAGCCGGCGUCUCCAACCUUUUAUUUUACCAGGUUGACCUCGGAUCAGGUAGGGAUACCCGCUGAACUUAAGCAUAUCAAUAAGCGGAGGA
RNAcentral lists this unclassified non-coding RNA (349 nucleotides) under soil metagenome. RNAcentral's name for it is "partial contains 5.8S ribosomal RNA, internal transcribed spacer 2, and large subunit ribosomal RNA". The stretch from base 1 to 119 matches the Rfam family "5.8S ribosomal RNA", at positions 36 to 154 of the family's 154-position model. The record is from RNAcentral.